RNAcentral lists this transfer RNA (81 nucleotides) under Rasamsonia emersonii. RNAcentral's name for it is "tRNA-Ser". It matches the Rfam family "tRNA". From Rfam's summary of the family: Transfer RNA (tRNA) molecules are approximately 80 nucleotides in length. Their secondary structure includes four short double-helical elements and three loops (D, anti-codon, and T loops). Further hydrogen bonds mediate the characteristic L-shaped molecular structure. tRNAs have two regions of fundamental functional importance: the anti-codon, which is responsible for specific mRNA codon recognition, and the 3' end, to which the tRNAs corresponding amino acid is attached (by aminoacyl-tRNA synthetases). tRNAs cope with the degeneracy of the genetic code in two manners: having more than one tRNA (with a specific anti-codon) for a particular amino acid; and 'wobble' base-pairing, i.e. permitting non-standard base-pairing at the 3rd anti-codon position. Lineage: Eukaryota; Fungi; Ascomycota; Eurotiomycetes; Eurotiales; Trichocomaceae. The record is from RNAcentral. RNAcentral also lists the same sequence under 1 other name.
GGCAGUGUGGCCGAGUGGUUAAGGCGUCAGACUUGAAAUCUGAUCCCUACGGGGUCGCCGGUUCGAAUCCGGUCGCUGUCG